Molecule: ribosomal RNA, 599 nt
Filed under: uncultured bacterium
Lineage: Bacteria
Description: bacterial SSU rRNA
Rfam family: Bacterial small subunit ribosomal RNA
Source: RNAcentral
CCUACGGGAGGCAGCAGUGGGGAAUUUUCCGCAAUGGGCGAAAGCCUGACGGAGCAAUACCGCGUGAGGGAAGAAAGCCUACUGGGUUGUAAACCUCUUUUUUCAGGGAGGAAAAAAAUGACGUGUACCUGAAGAAUAAGCAUCGGCUAACUCCGUGCCAGCAGCCGCGGUAAGACGGAGGAUGCAAGUGUUAUCCGGAAUUACUGGGCGUAAAGCGUCUGUAGGUGGUUUAAUAAGUCAACUGUUAAAUCCUGAGGCUUAACUUCAAAACAGCAGUCGAAACUAUUAGACUAGAGUAUAGUAGGGGUAAAGGGAAUUUCCAGUGGAGCGGUGAAAUGCGUAGAUAUUGGAAAGAACACCGAUGGCGAAAGCACUUUACUGGGCUAUUACUAACACUCAGAGACGAAAGCUAGGGUAGCAAAUGGGAUUAGAUACCCCAGUAGUCCUAGCUGUAAACAAUGGAUACUAGAUGUUGAACAGAUCGACCUGUGCAGUAUUAAAGCUAACGCGUUAAGUAUCCCGCCUGGGAAGUAUGCUCGCAAGAGUGAAACUUAAAGGAAUUGACGGNNGAGAACGUGCGAGCGACGACGAGGGAGAGG